Molecule: ribosomal RNA, 449 nt
Filed under: uncultured bacterium
Lineage: Bacteria
Description: partial 16S ribosomal RNA
Rfam family: Bacterial small subunit ribosomal RNA
Source: RNAcentral
UAACCAGACUCCUACGGGAGGCAGCAGUGGGGAAUAUUGGGCAAUGGGCGCAAGCCUGACCCAGCAACGCCGCGUGAAGGAAGAAGGCUUUCGGGUUGUAAACUUCUUUUGACAGGGAAGAGCAGAAGACGGUACCUGACUAAGAAGCCCCGGCUAACUACGUGCCAGCAGCCGCGGUAAUACGUAGGGGGCGAGCGUUAUCCGGAUUUACUGGGUGUAAAGGGAGCGUAGACGGUUAAUCAAGUCUGAAGUGAAAGCCCGCGGCUCAACUGCGGAACGGCUUUGGAAACUGAGUAACUGGAGUGCUGGAAGGGCAGGCGGAAUUCCUGGUGUAGCGGUGAAAUGCGUAGAUAUCAGGAGGAACACCGGUGGCGAAGGCGGCCUGCUGGACAGUAACUGACGUUGAGGCUCGAAAGCGUGGGGAGCAAACAGGAUUAGAUACCCUCGUA